UGCAUCAUUUAUUUAUCGCUGUUGCAAAGAUAAAGACUGAAUAAUGACCCCGUAUUGACUGGUUGGUAUAUGAUAAUAUAUUUUUUAUAUUAUAUGUUUUUUUUUUUAUUUAUAUUAUAUAAAUUCUUGCAUAUAUUUAAUGACUAAUUAUCCGUACAUGGUGUACUUACUGGUCCGUCACAACUAGAUUGAAUAAUGUUUAAUUUUUUUUUUUUUUAUUUGAUAUGUCUCUCUAAGGGAAUGCCAAUAAUAAAGACUAAUAAUAGUCAACUGUGAAGCGGUCACUCUUUACGGUAGAAAGCGAAUAAAACAGAUCAGUGAACUCGGAAAUAUCUAUUUUUGGAAUACGUAGGUAGGUUAUAAUAUACGAAAAGUGCGUAAAAAAAGUAAGUUUUGUAAAAUGAUGCAGAAAAAUAAUCAUCGCGUUCGGGGUUUGAACCCGAGAUCGUUGGACCGGAAUGUAAAGCCCGAUCAAAUUUUUGGCAAACGGCAAACUUUGAAAAUUUGUUUGAAAAAUGGUUCAUCCGAUCAAUUAUUUGAUCGAAUUAUCUAUAAAUAAAACUCGAUUGUGAUUGGUCAAACAUAAUCGGAG
Cinara cedri is the source of this 592-nucleotide non-coding RNA. The record is from the annotation of a GenBank genome assembly. NCBI's taxonomy places the organism in Eukaryota, Metazoa, Arthropoda, Insecta, Hemiptera, Aphididae.